RNAcentral lists this transfer RNA (85 nucleotides) under Fusarium ambrosium. RNAcentral's name for it is "tRNA-Lys". It matches the Rfam family "tRNA". Rfam says of the family: Transfer RNA (tRNA) molecules are approximately 80 nucleotides in length. Their secondary structure includes four short double-helical elements and three loops (D, anti-codon, and T loops). Lineage: Eukaryota; Fungi; Ascomycota; Sordariomycetes; Hypocreales; Nectriaceae. RNAcentral also lists the same sequence under 18 other names. The record is from RNAcentral.
GCCCGGUUAGCUCAAUCGGUAGAGCGUGAGACUCUUAGUCGAGUACGCGAUCUCAAGGUUGCGGGUUCGACCCCCGCAUCGGGCU